RNAcentral lists this ribosomal RNA (449 nucleotides) under uncultured bacterium. Its description in RNAcentral is "partial 16S ribosomal RNA". It matches the Rfam family "Bacterial small subunit ribosomal RNA", at positions 29 to 523 of the family's 1533-position model. The record is from RNAcentral.
AAUGAACGCUGGCGGCAGGCCUAACACAUGCAAGUCGAACGAGGUAGCAAUACCUAGUGGCGGACGGGUGAGUAACGCGUGGGAACGUGCCCCUUGGUACGGAAUAGCCCUGGGAAACUGGGAGUAAUACCGUAUGUGGUCGAGAGACGAAAGAUUUAUCGCCAAGGGAUCGGCCCGCGUUGGAUUAGGUAGUUGGUGGGGUAAUGGCCUACCAAGCCGACGAUCCAUAGCUGGUUUGAGAGGAUGAUCAGCCACACUGGGACUGAGACACGGCCCAGACUCCUACGGGAGGCAGCAGUGGGGAAUCUUAGACAAUGGGGGAAACCCUGAUCUAGCCAUGCCGCGUGAUCGAUGAAGGCCUUAGGGUUGUAAAGAUCUUUCAGUGGGGAAGAUAAUGACGGUACCCACAGAAGAAGCCCCGGCUAACUCCGUGCCAGCCGCCGCGGUAA